RNAcentral lists this ribosomal RNA (83 nucleotides) under Monopterus albus (swamp eel). The record is from RNAcentral. Lineage: Eukaryota; Metazoa; Chordata; Actinopteri; Synbranchiformes; Synbranchidae.
GCAUCCGGCGUAAAACACAUGCCAGGGUUGGGCCUGGUUAGUACUUGAAUAGGAGUACCUGGGAAUACCAGGUGCUGUAAGCU